CAGUCGCCGCGGUAAAACGUAGGGUGCAAGCGUUAAUCGGAAUUACUGGGCGUAAAGCGUGCGCAGGCGGUUAUAUAAGUCAGAUGUGAAAUCCCCGGGCUCAACCUGGGAACUGCAUUUGAGACUGUAUGGCUAGAGUGUGUCAGAGGGGGGUAGAAUUCCACGUGUAGCAGUGAAAUGCGUAGAUAUGUGGAGGAAUACCGAUGGCGAAGGCAGCCCCCUGGGAUAACACUGACGCUCAUGCACGAAAGCGUGGGGAGCAAACAGGAUUAGAGACCCCUGUAGUCCCUGUCUCUUAUAC
RNAcentral lists this ribosomal RNA (301 nucleotides) under uncultured bacterium. Its description in RNAcentral is "partial 16S ribosomal RNA". It matches the Rfam family "Bacterial small subunit ribosomal RNA", at positions 509 to 807 of the family's 1533-position model. The record is from RNAcentral.